This 655-nucleotide ribosomal RNA is filed under the name uncultured Actinomycetes bacterium. Its description in RNAcentral is "bacterial SSU rRNA". It matches the Rfam family "Bacterial small subunit ribosomal RNA", at positions 74 to 716 of the family's 1533-position model. The record is from RNAcentral. Lineage: Bacteria; Bacillati; Actinomycetota; Actinomycetes.
CGGGCUUCGGCCCGGGGCAAAGCCGCGAACGGGUGAGUAACACGUGGGUAACCCACCCCGAUGACCGGGACAACCCGAGGAAACUCGGGCUAAUACCGGAUGAGCUCCUCUCCCUUGAGGGUGAGGAGGAAAGAUAGCUUCGGCCUUCGCAUCGGGACGGGCCCGCGGCGCAUUAGCUUGUUGGUGGGGUAACGGCCUACCAAGGCGACGAUGCGUAGCUGGUCUGAGAGGACGAUCAGCCACACUGGGACUGAGACACGGCCCAGACUCCUACGGGAGGCAGCAGUGGGGAAUCUUGCACAAUGCGCGAAAGCGUGAUGCAGCAACGCCGCGUGGGGGAAGAAGGCCUUCGGGUUGUAAACCCCUUUCAGUUGGGACGAAGCUUCGCCGGUUAAUAGCCGGCUGGAGUGACGGUACCUUCACAAGAAGCCCCGGCUAACUACGUGCCAGCAGCCGCGGUAAUACGUAGGGGGCUAGCGUUGUCCGGAAUCAUUGGGCGUAAAGCGCGUGUAGGCGGCCCGGUAAGUCCGCUGUGAAAGUCGGGGGCUCAACCCUCGAAUGCCGGUGGAUACUGUCGGGCUCGAGUACGGAAGAGGCGAGUGGAAUUCCUGGUGUAGCGGUGAAAUGCGCAGAUAACAGGAGGAACACCAAUUGC